UUACUGAAAAGAUGACUUAUCUGCAUGCAAGUAUUUAAGACCACAGCGCAUUCUUUGCAGUGUUCUUCCAUUGCAGGGGGAUUCAGGAACACAAGACGAAUCUGCUAUAUGAUAUUAAGCAUUUCAUUCAGUCUAUGGGAUCCAAAUUCAAAUCAGGACAUCCAGCCUUACAGAAGAUCUGAGCCAUCAUAUUCUGUCUAAAUAAAAUCCAACGACAUGGCUGCAGAGAAAGCAGCAGCGGCAAAAGUACCAAGGGCCUCUACGUGGUCGCCGCUGACAUUAACAUUUGCAGUUGUAACAGUAAUAAUAACUUAUGUAUUUAUGCCAGGAGUAGGUGAAGGAGCAGUAGGAGCAGCGGCUGGAGCAGCGGCUGCGGUAGGAGUUUUAAAUUCACUGUGGGAAAAAGAAGAACGGACGGGGAAAAUAGCAGUAGCAGUAACUGGGGUAACAGGAGGCGUAGCAGGAACAGCAGCAGCAAUGUUUCGAUCAAUGCUAGGAAAACGUUCGCUAACAGGAGCAGCGAUUGUUGGGGCGCUAGCAGGAGCUGCCAUAGUUGCGCUAGCAAAACCGCAGUUACAAAGGUUUAUACAAGUCAUAAGAUAUUUAAUAGAUGCACUGAAAAUGUUUGUAGGAGUAACUCUAGUACUUUUUAUUGCUACAUUAUUGAUAUGGGUAAAAGAUCUAAUAAAGUGGGCAGUAUCCCAAGUGAAAGCAGCGGCACAGUGGAUUAUAGAAGCAGCAAAAAAGGCAUUCAACACAUUAGCAUCGCUUGGAGCAGCGGGAUUGCCGGCAGCAGCAGCAGGAGUGAUAGCAUCAUUAGCAUUAGCAUCAGCAUCUGGAUUAGCAGGAGCGUUAGCAGGACUAGUAUCCGUAUUAUUCGGUCUUGGGUUAGUAUUUGCGGCCGGAGCAGUCAUUUUUGGAUGCGUUCAGAGAGGACAAUCAAGCCAGCCGCAGGCACAAGAUGGAGACGUGAUGUUACCAGUAGCUGCUUUUUUACUUUUUGUUUUAUUCUGUUUCCUUGUUUCCUCUGUGGGCAUGUUUCGUUGUUGUUUAUUGUUGUUCAUCUUGUGGUUUCUGAUCCGCUACCGCUCUGAAAGGCACUGAUCCUGUUUAUUAAGGAGAAUGCGACAACCGUAAAAGCCUUGAAAAUUUAACCAAGCUUUUUUCUUUUAUCCAUCUAUUAUUGUAUAUUCCAAAGGCGUAUAUUCCAUUUUGUUUGGGGGAAACCUUUUUGGGUUUGCUUAUAUCAUCGCAAAAUGUGAACUGUGUUAUUGCUUAGGUCUAUAUACAUAUAUGUGUGUGUGUGUGUGUUAUAUCCAACUUUAUUCACAUACAUCCUGACAUUAAAAUAUAUUUAAAAUGAAGCACCCUUUCAAAUUCAAAACUGCUUUUAUCUCCAGAAAAUGUGUGAAUUUGUAAAUAUUUGUUCAGUUAAAUAACUGAGACACAAAAAUUCAGUAACCAUUAUUCAAGAGAAGAUAUGGAAUCCCAGAAUACAUCCAUUUGCUUUACAGUUUCAUAGAUUUACAUGUACAGUAGAACGCCAAUGAAUUUUAAUGCCCUUUUUUGUUGAGACAUUUCAUAGACAUAAUGGUUUUUGUAUGUACAAACUGUAUUUUCUAACCCCACACCUCAACCUACCAUUCACACAAAACAUUCUGCUAUUUUGAUAAAAAAAAAAAAAAAAAUUUAAUUUUACUAUUUUUAGAGAACUCCUGAAUUUUUAUGAUUUGUAAGUUUACUGGUA
Molecule: long non-coding RNA, 1747 nt
Organism: Puntigrus tetrazona (Sumatra barb)
Lineage: Eukaryota; Metazoa; Chordata; Actinopteri; Cypriniformes; Cyprinidae
Exons: 3
Source: RefSeq, a predicted model, not a curated record